RNAcentral lists this transfer-messenger RNA (361 nucleotides) under bacterium. It matches the Rfam family "transfer-messenger RNA". From Rfam's summary of the family: Bacterial tmRNA, also known as 10Sa RNA or SsrA, is named for its dual tRNA and mRNA-like properties. Its role is to liberate the mRNA from a stalled ribosome. To accomplish this part of the tmRNA is used as a reading frame that ends in a translation stop signal. The record is from RNAcentral. RNAcentral also lists the same sequence under 1 other name.
GGGGGCGUUCUGGUUUCGACUGGAUGCUGGCAACGCUAGCUGCAUGUAGAGGUUGAUCGGUUGGCCUCUUUAAAAAGCCGCUCAAAACACAUAAUUGCAGACUCUAACGAGCUCGCACUUGCUGCUUAAUUGACAGUGACGGCCCCCUGGUAAUGUCUACUAACCAGAUCGCCGACUACUUAGUAGACUGGCUAGCCAAGUCGGGGUUCCGGAUGAAGCGGCGAGAAUUUACAGGAGCAUCGGAUUGUUGAACGGGCUGGAUGAGGCUCGGCUUUCUUAAAUCAGAGACGUCCAGCUAUACAUGUAGACGCUUUUGAGAAAGGCUUCUAGGACACGGGUUCAAUUCCCGUCGCCUCCACCA